GCUGGGCAUGGUGGUGUGUGCCUGUAGUCCCAGCUACUCAGGAGGCUGAGGCAGGAGGAUCACUUGUGCCUGGGAGGUCAAGGUUGCAGUGAGCUUUGAUCACACCACUGCACUCUAGUCUGGGUGACAGAGUAAGACCCUGAUCACACCACUGCACUCUAGUCUGGGUGACAGAGUAAGAUCCUGUCUCAA
Molecule: signal recognition particle RNA, 192 nt
Filed under: Pan paniscus (pygmy chimpanzee)
Lineage: Eukaryota; Metazoa; Chordata; Mammalia; Primates; Hominidae
Also listed under: 1 other name
Description: Metazoan signal recognition particle RNA
Rfam family: Metazoan signal recognition particle RNA
About the family: The signal recognition particle (SRP) is a universally conserved ribonucleoprotein. It is involved in the co-translational targeting of proteins to membranes. The eukaryotic SRP consists of a 300-nucleotide 7S RNA and six proteins: SRPs 72, 68, 54, 19, 14, and 9.
Source: Rfam by way of RNAcentral